GGAUCAGCUCAGUCAGAGAAUACACCACUGAAUCGUCAGGGUUGGAAGGGACCUCUGGAGAUCCAUCCAGUCCAACCCCCCUGCGCAGGCAGGGUCACCUGGAGUAGGUGACACAGGAACGCAUCCAGGUGGGCUUGGAAUGUCUCCAGAGAGGGAGACUCCACGAC
Molecule: long non-coding RNA, 167 nt
Organism: Empidonax traillii (willow flycatcher)
Lineage: Eukaryota; Metazoa; Chordata; Aves; Passeriformes; Tyrannidae
Exons: 3
Source: RefSeq, a predicted model, not a curated record